RNAcentral lists this ribosomal RNA (491 nucleotides) under uncultured bacterium. RNAcentral's name for it is "partial 16S ribosomal RNA". It matches the Rfam family "Bacterial small subunit ribosomal RNA", at positions 29 to 507 of the family's 1533-position model. The record is from RNAcentral.
AGUGAACGCUGGCGGUAGGCCUAACACAUGCAAGUCGAACGGCAGCACAGUAAGAGCUUGCUCUUACGGGUGGCGAGUGGCGGACGGGUGAGGAAUACAUCGGAAUCUACUUUUUCGUGGGGGAUAACGUAGGGAAACUUACGCUAAUACCGCAUACGACCUACGGGUGAAAGCAGGGGAUCUUCGGACCUUGCGCGAUUGAAUGAGCCGAUGUCGGAUUAGCUAGUUGGCGGGGUAAAGGCCCACCAAGGCGACGAUCCGUAGCUGGUCUGAGAGGAUGAUAAGCAAAACUGGAAGUGAGAAACGGUCCAGACUCCUAGGGGAGGCAGAAGUGGGGAAAAUUGGAAAAGGGGCGAAAGCCUGAUCAAGCCAUACCGCGUGGGUGAAGAAGGCCUUCGGGUUGUAAAGCCCUUUGUUGGGAAAGAAAAGCAGCAGGUUAAUACCCCGCUGUUCUGACGGUACCCAAAGAAUAAGCACCGGCUAACUUCGUG